GAUGAACGCUGGCGGCGUGCUUAACACAUGCAAGUCGAACGAUGAAGCCCAGCUUGCUGGGUGGAUUAGUGGCGAACGGGUGAGUAACACGUGAGUAACCUGCCCUUAACUCUGGGAUAAGCCUGGGAAACUGGGUCUAAUACCGGAUAGGAGCGUCCACCGCAUGGUGGGUGUUGGAAAGCUUUAUCGGUUUUGGAUGGACUCGCGGCCUAUCAGCUUGUUGGUGAGGUAAUGGCUCACCAAGGCGACGCCGGGUAGCCGGCCUGAGAGGGUGACCGGCGACAAUGGGACUGAGACACGGCCCAGACUCCUACGGGAGGCAGCAGUGGGGAAUAUUGCACAAUGGGCGCAAGCCUGAUGCAGCGACGCCGCGUGAGGGAUGACGGCCUUCGGGUUGUAAACCUCUUUCAGUAGGGAAGAAGCGAAAGUGACGGUACCUGCAGAAGAAGCACCGGCUAACUACGUG
Molecule: ribosomal RNA, 466 nt
Filed under: uncultured bacterium
Lineage: Bacteria
Description: partial 16S ribosomal RNA
Rfam family: Bacterial small subunit ribosomal RNA
Source: RNAcentral